RNAcentral lists this ribosomal RNA (497 nucleotides) under uncultured bacterium. RNAcentral's name for it is "partial 16S ribosomal RNA". It matches the Rfam family "Bacterial small subunit ribosomal RNA", at positions 28 to 507 of the family's 1533-position model. The record is from RNAcentral.
GAUGAACGCUGGCGGCGUGCCUAAUACAUGCAAGUCGAGCGAACGGACGAGAAGCUUGCUUCUCUGAUGUUAGCGGCGGACGGGUGAGUAACACGUGGAUAACCUACCUAUAAGACUGGGAUAACUUCGGGAAACCGGAGCUAAUACCGGAUGAUAUUUUGAACCGCAUGGUUCAAAAGUGAAAGACGGUCUUGCUGUCACUUAUAGAUGGAUCCGAGCUGCAUUAGCUAGUUGGUAAGGUAACGGCUUACCAAGGCAACGAUGCAUAGCCGACCUGAGAGGGUGAUCGGCCACACUGGAACUGAGACACGGUCCAGACUCCUACGGGAGGCAGCAGUAGGGAAUCUUCCGCAGUGGUCGAAAGCCUGACGGAGCAGCGCCGCGUGAGUGAUGAAGGUCUUCGGAUCGUAAAACUCUGUUAUUAGUGAAGAACAUCUGUGUAAGUAACUGUGCACAUCUUGACGGUACCUAAUCAGAAAGCCACGGCUAACUACGUG